RNAcentral lists this ribosomal RNA (423 nucleotides) under uncultured bacterium. RNAcentral's name for it is "bacterial SSU rRNA". It matches the Rfam family "Bacterial small subunit ribosomal RNA", at positions 207 to 622 of the family's 1533-position model. The record is from RNAcentral.
AAGACCUUGCGCUUUUGGAGCGGCCGAUGCCUGAUUAGCUAGUUGGUYGGGUAAAGGCCUACCAAGGCUUCGAUCAGUAGUUGGUCUGAGAGGACGACCAGCCACACUGGGACUGAGACACGGCCCAGACUCCUACGGGAGGCAGCAGUGGGGAAUUUUGGACAAUGGGGGCAACCCUGAUCCAGCCAUGCCGCGUGAGUGAAGAAGGCCUUCGGGUUGUAAAGCUCUUUCAGUCGGGAAGAAAAGGUUGUGACUAAUAAUUGCAAUUCAUGACGGUACCGACAGAAGAAGCACCGGCUAACUACGUGCCAGCAGCCGCGGUAAUACGUAGGGUGCGAGCGUUAAUCGGAAUUACUGGGCGUAAAGGGUGCGCAGGCGGURUUGUAAGURAGAUGUGAAAUCCCCGGGCUUAACCUGGGAACU